RNAcentral lists this long non-coding RNA (1324 nucleotides) under Anser cygnoides (Swan goose). RNAcentral describes it as "lncRNA (ENSACDG00005019152.1)". Lineage: Eukaryota; Metazoa; Chordata; Aves; Anseriformes; Anatidae. The record is from RNAcentral.
AAUACCUUACUCUGACAUUCUUCAUCUCGUUAAUUAGUACCGUGCUCUGUAAAUGCCUCAUAGGUUUUAAAGCCAUAAAGGACCAUCAGGCUACACCUAAAAAGUUCACCACAGGGUUCCAUCACUUCUCUUUAUAAGUUGUCCAAAUAGAUUAUUAUGUCUAUUGUUAAAAGUUAAGUAAUUUUUGCCAUCUUUCAAAAUCAGACAUUUGGAUCAGAUACAUCCAAAAUCUUUUCCCCAAAUAUGUUCUUGUAGAGCAUGAUCAAGAUAAAUAUUCUGAGGCUCUUUAUUGUCCCUCUGACUUAGAUUCAUAACAAGAGGACUAAGCUUGAGUGGAUGUUAGGCAAAUAAAAUUUGAAGUUUUAUGUAAUCUUCUUGAGGUGUUGGAUUCCAGUGAUGUUCUAUGGUGUUCUUGAGAGAAUAACAAUUUCUGUGCCUCCAUUUUGCCAUUUUCGUAAUGGGAAUAGUAUUUACAGGAAUGUUUUGAAGUUUAGUUAAUGUCUCUGAAAUUCUUUCAGACAGGCACAAGACAAGAUACACACAAACUUCCACAAGAGGUAUAUAAAUGUAUGCAAAUGUAGCUAAUGAAGCAAAAGGAAGAGGGCUAAAUGGUGCCUUAAUAGUUUCUCCUUAAAAACCUAUUUUGAAAAGGAAUAUUUUGCCAUGUCUCUUGAUUAUGAGUCUUACAUUUUUUAAUAAUCUCUUCUAGCGUGCUGGGACCAGCUGUGACCUUCAGAGUGCACUCAAACCUCCAAAACAUUUCAACAGCAGAUAUUGCCAAAGCAGCAGCCCUGAACAAAGAGAAGCUUGAGAAAACAACUGGACUGAGAAUUUUGCAGACUGGCGUGGGGGAGGUAAGUGGCUUGGGGGCAUUUUACACUCUCAAAAACAUUUUAAUUGUUGUGUUUUUUGUAUGAAAUCCUGGAGCUCAUGAACGUUUGUGAACUACCAGUCUGAUAGUGCUAAGGGCCUUUUUAUGAUACAGUUGCAUCUGUCAAAAUACAAUCUGCUGCACAAAUAGCACUGUAUCCCACAGAGAAAAAAAUACCAUCCUUACGAGGAAAGUGCAGCCGGCUUUAAGAAAUGCAUUUUUUUGCUUUGUCGUAUCACAGGAACAAAAUCCCCAAAGAUGAGCACAGCAACUGAAGUCGUUGUAUUAUUCCCCUUGGUUUAGUUGGAGUGGUAGCUCAUCUAGAUCAACAAAAGUUUAAAUUUGGGGUAAAGGCUCUUCAGCUGUUAGAGAGAAUCUGUCAGUGAAUGAUUUGGUUAUUUUGGAUGCAACUUGAAACAUAAAUAAAACGUGUCUGUUAUUAUGAUGAUAUCA